GAUGAACGCUGGCGGCGUGCCUAAUACAUGCAAGUCGAGCGAACGGACGAUAAGCUUGCUUCUCUGAUGGUAGCGGCUGACGGGUGAGUAACACGUGGAUAACCUACCUAUAAUACUUGGAUAACUUCGGGAAACCGGAUCUAAUACCGGAUGAUAUUUUGAACCGCUUGGUGCAAAAGUUAAAGACGGUCUUGCUGUCACAUAUAGAUGGAUCCGCGCUGCAUUAGCUAGUUGGUAAGGUAACGGCUUACCAAGGCAACGAUGCAUAGCCGAUCUGAGAGGGUGAUCAGCCACACUGGAACUGAGACACGGUCCAGACUCCUACGGGAGGCAGCAGUAGGGAAUAUUCCACAAUGGGCGCAAGCCUGAUGGAGCAACGCCGCGUGAGUGAUGAAGGUCUUCGGAUCGUAAAACUCUGUUAUUAGGGAAGAACAUAUGUGUAAGUAACUGUGCACAUCUUGACGGUACCUAAACAGAAAGCAACGGCUAACUACGUG
RNAcentral lists this ribosomal RNA (497 nucleotides) under uncultured bacterium. RNAcentral's name for it is "partial 16S ribosomal RNA". It matches the Rfam family "Bacterial small subunit ribosomal RNA", at positions 28 to 507 of the family's 1533-position model. The record is from RNAcentral.